Molecule: ribosomal RNA, 195 nt
Filed under: uncultured bacterium
Lineage: Bacteria
Description: partial 16S ribosomal RNA
Rfam family: Bacterial small subunit ribosomal RNA
Source: RNAcentral
UACCAAGGCGGCGACGGGUAUCCGGCCUGAGAGGGUGUACGGACACAUUGGGACUGAGAUACGGCCCAGACUCCUACGGGAGGCAGCAGUGGGGAAUAUUGCACAAUGGGCGCAAGCCUGAUGCAGCGACGCCGCGUGGGGGAUGAAGGCCUUCGGGUUGUAAACUCCUUUCGCUAUCGACGAAGCCUNNUGGGG